UCAUCUUAUCGUGUACAAUCC
Molecule: non-coding RNA, 21 nt
Filed under: Caenorhabditis elegans
Lineage: Eukaryota; Metazoa; Nematoda; Chromadorea; Rhabditida; Rhabditidae
Source: RNAcentral